ACGCUGGCGGCAGGCCUAACACAUGCAAGUCGAGCGGUAGAGAGAAGCUUGCUUCUCUUGAGAGCGGCGGACGGGUGAGUAAUGCCUAGGAAUCUGCCUGGUAGUGGGGGAUAACGUCCGGAAACGGACGCUAAUACCGCAUACGUCCUACGGGAGAAAGCAGGGGACCUUCGGGCCUUGCGCUAUCAGAUGAGCCUAGGUCGGAUUAGCUAGUUGGUGAGGUAAUGGCUCACCAAGGCGACGAUCCGUAACUGGUCUGAGAGGAUGAUCAGUCACACUGGAACUGAGACACGGUCCAGGCUCCUACGGGAGGCAGCAGUGGGGAAUACUGGACAAUGGGCGAAAGCCUGAUCCAGCCAUGCCGCGUGUGUGAAGAAGGUCUUCGGAUUGUAAAGCACUUUAAGUUGGGAGGAAGGGCCAUUACCUAAUACGUGAUGGUUUUGACGUUACCGACAGAAUAAGCACCGGCUAACUCUGUGCCAGCAGCCGCGGUAAUACAGAGGGUGCAAGCGUUAAUCGGAAUUACUGGGCGUAAAGCGCGCGUAGGUGGUUUGUUAAGUUGGAUGUGAAAUCCCCGGGCUCAACCUGGGAACUGCAUUCAAACUGACUGACUAGAGUAUGGUAGAGGGUGGUGGAAUUUCCUGUGUAGCGGUGAAA
Molecule: ribosomal RNA, 657 nt
Filed under: uncultured bacterium
Lineage: Bacteria
Description: bacterial SSU rRNA
Rfam family: Bacterial small subunit ribosomal RNA
Source: RNAcentral